GGCCUAGUGGGACUGCAGUAUUAUUAAUAUUGAUUUACUCGUUCGGUCAUUGCAUUGGAAAAAACACAUUUAUUCUAAAACCAGUUGUUGGCAUCAUACGGGUUAUGCUCUUCUCAUAUAUUUUAUGACGGUAUGAUACUGAAUCCCUAACCAGAGGGAUUGUACUUGAUCUUCAUAUUUUGCGCAUGUCCCAAUUCAGGAGCCUCUGGCUUUUGUUAGUCUUGGUUUUUUUUGUAUUUUUUUUUACUUUUUGUUUAUUUAUAUGGUUUGGACUUUAGUAUGACGUCCAUUUUCACUGAACUAGUACACAUUUUUAUUUAAGGGGCAGUUGAGUUCCACCUCCGCGUGCGGGGUUUUCUCGCUGCAUUGAAGACUCAUUGGUGCCCCUCGGCUGUUAUCUGCUCAUUAAAUUGGUAGGGUUGUUGCCCCUCUGACAUAUUCCCAAUUCCCAUUCUCAAUUUUAUAUUAUUUAUUAAUGUAUUUUUCCCGUUUGUAUGUCAAUAUUUUUAUGCCCCACCUACGAUAGUAGAGGGGCAUUAUGUUUUCUGGUCUGUGCCUCCGUUCGUCCGUCCGUCUGUGCGUCCGUUCGCUUCAGGUUAAAGUUUUUGGUCAAGGUAGUUUUUGAAGAAGUUGAAGUCUAAUCAACUUGAAACUUAGUACACAUGUUCCCUAUGCUAUGAUCUUUCUAAUUUUAAUUCCAAAUUAAAGUUUUGACCCCAAUUUCACGGUCCACUGAACAUAGAAAAUGAUAGUGCGAGUGGGGCAUCCGUGUACUUGGGACACAUUCUUGUUAUUAUUGUAAUGUAGUUGUAUUUCAUAGGCCGUAUAAAUAUUACUUUUUUAUAGAUAGUGUUCAUUAUGUUAUAGUUAUUGACCAAGCAAGUCGGUAUAUGCCAUUUAAUCUGCACAGCACGAGAAGACCCAUCUCGUGCUGUGCAGAUUAAAUUACAUAUACCGAUUUGAUUGGCCAAUAACUGUUUUAAC
Molecule: long non-coding RNA, 984 nt
Filed under: Mytilus galloprovincialis (Mediterranean mussel)
Lineage: Eukaryota; Metazoa; Mollusca; Bivalvia; Mytilida; Mytilidae
Source: RNAcentral